AGUGAACGCUGGCGGUAGGCCUAACACAUGCAAGUCGAACGGCAGCACAGUAAGAGCUUGCUCUUACGGGUGGCGAGUGGCGGACGGGUGAGGAAUACAUCGGAAUCUACUUUUUCGUGGGGGAUAACGUAGGGAAACUUACGCUAAUACCGCAUACGACCUACGGGUGAAAGCAGGGGAUCUUCGGACCUUGCGCGAUUGAAUGAGCCGAUGUCGGAUUAGCUAGUUGGCGGGGUAAAGGCCCACCAAGGCGACGAUCCGUAGCUGGUCUGAGAGUAUGAUCAGCCACACUGGAACUGAGACACGGUCCUGACUCCUACGGGAGGCAGCAGUGGGGAAUAUUGGACAAUGGGCGCAAGCCUGAUCCAGCCAUACCGCGUGGGUGAAGAAGGCCUUCGGGUUGUAAAGCCCUUUUGUUGGGAAAGAAAAGCAGCAGGUUAAUACCCCGCUGUUCUGACGGUACCCAAAGAAUAAGCACCGGCUAACUUCGUG
RNAcentral lists this ribosomal RNA (492 nucleotides) under uncultured bacterium. RNAcentral's name for it is "partial 16S ribosomal RNA". It matches the Rfam family "Bacterial small subunit ribosomal RNA", at positions 29 to 507 of the family's 1533-position model. The record is from RNAcentral.